AAUAGCAACAAGGAAGACUAAGAAAACAAAACACCAUUUUACCAAGAUAAUACUUUAAAAACCAGUAACACUUUUCUCAUUUAAUAUUCUGCAGUCUUUUACCUGAAGCUGUCUUGUAGCAGUAUGUAAAACAUUUCUCAUAGCUCAAAGGUUUUGAAAAUAAUCAAAAUGUUAUAGAAUUAUAUGAAUAAUAGUGGUACAUGGAUAUUUUGUGACAUUUUUUGUGACAAUGGCUAAAUGCAUAUAUUAGGAAAAAUUAUGGGGAAAAGAAGAGAAUAUAAUUACUAAUAAACCACUCCAUUAUGUUUCAGGAGAUUAUCUGGUUUUGACUUCAAAGCAAGCUAAUGAUCCAGGAUACAUCAAGUAUUCAAAUUUAAGAUUCUCUUCACAUGAAAUCAUUAACAAGGAACUUCCUCUGGACUUCCACAAGCAUCAAGCAUGGAAACAGUCUGAGGACCAAGCUGACUAACACAGGAAUAACCAUUAUUCCCAGUAGUUACAAGAGGAAAAGAAUAAAGGGAAGGAGAAGGACCUAGAGGAAAACCCAUUUCUAACAGUCAUGAAGCAAGAACAAACAUAUUAACCAUGGAAGGAAACUUACCUGCUCCCAUUUCAUUUCCAGCCCUUGGAAUAAUAUCAUCAUCUU
Long non-coding RNA from Serinus canaria (Common canary), 646 nucleotides. RefSeq lists it as uncharacterized. The transcript has 3 exons. The record is from RefSeq and is a predicted model, not a curated record. NCBI's taxonomy places the organism in Eukaryota, Metazoa, Chordata, Aves, Passeriformes, Fringillidae.